GAAGCAGCCAUCAUUUAAAGAAAGCGUAAUAGCUCACUGGUCGAGUCGGCCUGCGCGGAAGAUGUAACGGGGCUAAACCAUGCACCGAAGCUGCGGCAGCGACACUAUGUGUUGUUGGGUAGGGGAGCGUUCUGUAAGCCUGUGAAGGUGGCCUGUGAGGGUUGCUGGAGGUAUCAGAAGUGCGAAUGCUGACAUAAGUAACGAUAAAGCGGGUGAAAAGCCCGCUCGCCGGAAGACCAAGGGUUCCUGUCCAACGUUAAUCGGGGCAGGGUGAGUCGACCCCUAAGGCGAGGCCGAAAGGCGUAGUCGAUGGGAAACAGGUUAAUAUUCCUGUACUUGGUGUUACUGCGAAGGGGGGACGGAGAAGGCUAUGUUGGCCGGGCGACGGUUGUCCCGGUUUAAGCGUGUAGGCUGGUUUUCCAGGCAAAUCCGGAAAACCAAGGCUGAGGCGUGAUGACGAGGCACUACGGUGCUGAAGCGACAAAUGCCCUGCUUCCAGGAAAAGCCUCUAAGCAUCAGGUAACAUCAAAUCGUACCCCAAACCGACACAGGUGGUCAGGUAGAGAAUACCAAGGCGCUUGAGAGAACUCGGGUGAAGGAACUAGGCAAAAUGGUGCCGUAACUUCGGGAGAAGGCACGCUGAUAUGUAGGUGAAGCGACUUGCUCGUGGAGCUGAAAUCAGUCGAAGAUACCAGCUGGCUGCAACUGUUUAUUAAAAACACAGCACUGUGCAAACACGAAAGUGGACGUAUACGGUGUGACGCCUGCCCGGUGCCGGAAG
RNAcentral lists this ribosomal RNA (781 nucleotides) under Escherichia coli. RNAcentral's name for it is "partial 23S ribosomal RNA". It matches the Rfam family "Bacterial large subunit ribosomal RNA", at positions 1109 to 1875 of the family's 2925-position model. Lineage: Bacteria; Pseudomonadati; Pseudomonadota; Gammaproteobacteria; Enterobacterales; Enterobacteriaceae. The record is from RNAcentral.